GGGGCUGUAGCUCGGUGGUAGAGCACCACCUUGCAUGUGUGAGGCACUGGGUUCGAUCCUCAGCACCACA
RNAcentral lists this transfer RNA (70 nucleotides) under Marmota monax (woodchuck). Its description in RNAcentral is "tRNA.Ala". The record is from RNAcentral. Lineage: Eukaryota; Metazoa; Chordata; Mammalia; Rodentia; Sciuridae.